GACUGGUCCAAGUGCAGUAGUGUUUGCAACUAAUUGAUUACAACCAGUUACAGAUUCCUUUAUUCCUUCUCCACUCCCACUACUUACUUUGAUAAGACUUUU
Molecule: unclassified non-coding RNA, 102 nt
Organism: Cercocebus atys (sooty mangabey)
Lineage: Eukaryota; Metazoa; Chordata; Mammalia; Primates; Cercopithecidae
Rfam family: Y RNA
About the family: Y RNAs are components of the Ro ribonucleoprotein particle (Ro RNP), in association with Ro60 and La proteins.
Source: Ensembl